AUUAUUGGGCGUAAAGGGCUCGCAGGCGGUUUCUUAAGUCUGAUGUGAAAGCCCCCGGCUCAACCGGGGAGGGUCAUUGGAAACUGGGGAACUUGAGUGCAGAAGAGGAGAGUGGAAUUCCACGUGUAGCGGUGAAAUGCGUAGAGAUGUGGAGGAACACCAGUGGCGAAGGCGACUCUCUGGUCUGUAACUGACGCUGAGGAGCGAAAGCGUGGGGAGCGAACAGGAUUAGAUACCCUGGUAGUCCACGCCGUAAACGAUGAGUGCUAAGUGUUAGGGGGUUUCCGCCCCUUAGUGCUGCAGCUAACGCAUUAAGCACUCCGCCUGGGGAGUACGGUCGCAAGACUGAAACUCAAAGGAAUUGACGGGGGCCCGCACAAGCGGUGGAGCAUGUGGUUUAAUUCGAAGCAACGCGAAGAACCUUACCAGGUCUUGACAUCCUCUGACAAUCCUAGAGAUAGGACGUCCCCUUCGGGGGCAGAGUGACAGGUGGUGCAUGGUUGUCGUCAGCUCGUGUCGUGAGAUGUUGGGUUAAGUCCCGCAACGAGCGCAACCCUUGAUCUUAGUUGCCAGCAUUCAGUUGGGCACUCUAAGGUGACUGCCGGUGACAAACCGGAGGAAGGUGGGGAUGACGUCAAAUCAUCAUGCCCCUUAUGACCUGGGCUACACACGUGCUACAAUGGACAGAACAAAGGGCAGCGAAACCGCGAGGUUAAGCCAAUCCCACAAAUCUGUUCUCAGUUCGGAUCGCAGUCUGCAACUCGACUGCGUGAAGCUGGAAUCGCUAGUAAUCGCGGAUC
Molecule: ribosomal RNA, 800 nt
Filed under: Bacillus sp. C1F7
Lineage: Bacteria; Bacillati; Bacillota; Bacilli; Caryophanales; Bacillaceae
Description: bacterial SSU rRNA
Rfam family: Bacterial small subunit ribosomal RNA
Source: RNAcentral